Myotis davidii is the source of this 154-nucleotide non-coding RNA. NCBI's taxonomy places the organism in Eukaryota, Metazoa, Chordata, Mammalia, Chiroptera, Vespertilionidae. The record is from Rfam.
UCACCUAAGGAAAUCCCCCUGAAUUGUAUGGAGUGAGCCAGUAACGCAUCUGUCCCCUCCGGACAGGGCUCUAUCGGAGACAGACCCCCCUUUCCCUGGCUUCCAGUGCCCAGGGGUCUCUCCCCCUUGGCAGGAGUCAUUGUCUCCUUUUGGC